AGCUGUGAAACUAUCAUGAACAGAAAGGAGUAAAAUAUGAGGACAUAAUCUAACGAGUCAAAAUAGGGUUGAUGUUUUGCAAUGGCAAGUAGAUCAAUUUUGCUAUUCUUGCCUGUCUGUAACAGAGUCAAAAUAGGGUUGAUGUUUUGCAAUGGCAAGUAGAUCAAUGUUGCUAUUCUUGCCUGUCUCCGCCACAUGUACUCAUCAGAAGCCUGUCUCCAACCUGACUUUAAACUAAGAACAUAUCCUAAACAAACAUUCCGCAAGGUUUUCCUCUAUAACAGUCUCUUUAGCUCCAAUAAUGCAUUAUUUCAGACCUACACCUACGGGUUGAUAUAAAUAUAGGAUAAAUAGCGAGGCACUCUUCUAACAUACUCUGUGUACGGACAGAAAGUUGCACCAAUCUAUUACUACGUUGCAACUGAUUUGUUU
Molecule: long non-coding RNA, 432 nt
Filed under: Nicotiana benthamiana
Lineage: Eukaryota; Viridiplantae; Streptophyta; Magnoliopsida; Solanales; Solanaceae
Description: long non-coding RNA (NBEN_LNC039129)
Source: RNAcentral